AUUGAACGCUGGCGGCAGGCCUAACACAUGCAAGUCGAGCGGCAGAAGAGUAAUUGCUCCUGGAUUCAGCGGCGGACGGGUGAGUAAGGCCUAGGAACCUGCCUGGUAGUGGGUGAGAACGUGCGAAAACGGGGGCUAAUACGCUAAAAGCGCAGAGGGAGAACGGGGGGGAUCAGCGGACCUUCGGCCCUUAGAUGAGCCUAGGUGGGAUUAGCGAGUUGGUGGGGUAAAGGCCUACCAAGGCGACGAUCCGUAACUGGUCUGAGAGUAUGAUCAGCCACACUGGAACUGAGACACGGUCCAGACUCCUACGGGAGGCAGCAGUGGGGAAUAUUGGACAAUGGGCGAAAGCCUGAUCCAGCCAUGCCGCGUGUGUGAAGAAGGUCUUCGGAUUGUAAAGCACUUUAAGUUGGGAGGAAAGGCAGUAAGUUAAUACCCUGCUGUUUUGACGUUACCAACAGAAUAAGCACCGGCUAACUUCGUG
This 484-nucleotide ribosomal RNA is filed under the name uncultured bacterium. RNAcentral describes it as "partial 16S ribosomal RNA". It matches the Rfam family "Bacterial small subunit ribosomal RNA", at positions 30 to 507 of the family's 1533-position model. The record is from RNAcentral.